GAGUUUACUGUUGUAUUGGAAAUAGUUACAGAAACUACAAUUUACGAGUAUGUUGUUUAUAAUAAAUUAGCGAAUGUUCAAUAUUUUGAAUCCUAAUUCUAGUAUGUUUACAAAGAGAACUAAUUCUGAAUAUUUCAUGUUUUGAAGAACGAUGCAGAAUCAAAGUUUAAAAAAUACUAGAGGUCCCGCAGUAGUCGAAAUUCGACUAUAAUUAAUUGGAAUUCAAAAAUAAUCGCAAGAAUCGAUUUGAAUAGGAUGUUAGGAUAUUAUGCCCAUCCGAUUUAAGCAUGUGCAAUGUGAGACUCAUGAUGGAUGGCGUCAGUAAUGUUAUAAAUUUUGGGGUUUCCAGUAGGAGCUUCCAUUUCACAAACUUCGCCUGCAACGAAUAAUACAGUCGUCCUUGACCACAAAAAACUGUUAAGUGUACGUAAUAUUGAAAAUAAAAUGAUAAUAAAAAAACGUGAGAUUAAUACCUUUAAAA
Molecule: long non-coding RNA, 481 nt
Organism: Bombyx mori (domestic silkworm)
Lineage: Eukaryota; Metazoa; Arthropoda; Insecta; Lepidoptera; Bombycidae
Exons: 2
Source: RefSeq, a predicted model, not a curated record